CGCAUCUGUGCAUGCAGCAUAUCAAUAAGCGGAGGAAAAGAAACUAACAAGGAUUCCCUUAGUGACGGCGAGUGAAGCGGGAAGAGCUCAAAUUUGAAAUCUUCAAGGUUUUACCUUGACGAAUUGUAGUUUAAAGAAGUGUUUUCUGUUGAAGUUUUGGUAAAAGUUCUUUGGAAUAGGACAUCAUAGAGGGUGAGAAUCCCGUAUUUGACCAUUAUUUUCAGCUGUGUGAUACACUUUCAAAGAGUCGGAUUGUUUGGGAAUGCAGUCCAAAAUGGGUGGUAAAUUUCAUCUAAAGCUAAAUAUUGGCGAGAGACCGAUAGCGAACAAGUACCGUGAGGGAAAGAUGAAAAGAACUUUGAAAAGAGAGUUAAACAGUACGUGAAAUUGUCAAAAGGGAAGCGUUUGACACCAGUGUUGUUUUCUCGAAAAUCAAUUAAAAAGAGUUAGAUUUUGUUGUGUAUUGACCUUAACAGCUUGCAUUUCAAUUUUCUUGCUUUUUUUAAUGCACUUUUCGUUUAACAAGUCAACAUCAGUUUCUUUUGUUGUAAAAAGGUCAUUGGAAGGUGGCUUUCUUUUCGGAGAAAGUGUUUAUAGCCUUUGACUCCUGCAAUCGGAGAGACUGAGGUCUGCAGCGUAGAUCCUUCGGGGUUAGAUACAUUUGUGCUAAGUUAUAGCUUUUUAUAGACAACUUGUUGACUAUGAUUAGUCUUGUAGCUUACUCGCUUAUGCUAUUUUACCUACGCUUAGGAUGUUGAUGUGAUACUGCGAGCA
This 774-nucleotide ribosomal RNA is filed under the name uncultured Neocallimastigales. RNAcentral describes it as "partial large subunit ribosomal RNA". It matches the Rfam family "Eukaryotic large subunit ribosomal RNA", at positions 26 to 629 of the family's 3401-position model. Lineage: Eukaryota; Fungi; Neocallimastigomycota; Neocallimastigomycetes; Neocallimastigales. The record is from RNAcentral.